Molecule: ribosomal RNA, 463 nt
Filed under: uncultured bacterium
Lineage: Bacteria
Description: partial 16S ribosomal RNA
Rfam family: Bacterial small subunit ribosomal RNA
Source: RNAcentral
GACGAACGCUGGCGGCGUGCUUAACACAUGCAAGUCGAACGGAAAGGCCUUUUCGGAGGUACUCGAGUGGCGGACGGGUGCGUAACACGUGGGUGAUCUGCCCUGCACUCUGGGAUAAGCCUGGGAAACUGGGUCUAAUACCGGAUAGGACCGCACUUUAGUGUGUGUGGUGGAAAGUUUUUUCGGUGUAGGAUGAGCCCGCGGCCUAUCAGCUUGUUGGUGGGGUAAUGGCCUACCAAGGCGGCGACGGGUAGCCGGACUGAGAGGUUGGUCGGCCACAUUGGGACUGAGAUACGGCCCAGACUCCGACGGGAGGCAGCAGUGGGGAAGAGUGCACAAUGGGCGCAAGCCUGAUGCAGCGACGCCGCGUGGGGGAUGACGGCCUUCGGGUUGUAAACUCCUUUCGCCAGGGACGAAGCGUUUUGUGACGGUACCUGGAGAAGAAGCACCGGCUAACUACGUG